Molecule: non-coding RNA, 322 nt
Organism: Camelina sativa (false flax)
Lineage: Eukaryota; Viridiplantae; Streptophyta; Magnoliopsida; Brassicales; Brassicaceae
Source: RefSeq, a predicted model, not a curated record
AAUUGGUGCAUGAUGAUGAUGCAUCAGGUGUCCCUUAGAGGCGCCAGCAGUGGAGAGAUAUCACGGGAUGCUUUGCUUGCUAAAGUGUCUCAAGAGAGGGAGCUACGCAGUUAUGCAAGACGUGCUAAUGCUGCAGCUAUUUAUAUUCAGAGAGUUUGGAGGUCUUAUAUUGUGAGAAAGAAGGCAGCUAUAGAGAUCCAAGAGGAGUGGGAGAUUUUACUGAGUUGCUGUUCUGAUGCACUGACCAAGAGUUGGGUAUCAAGCACAGUAUUGAGACCGUUCCUCUUCUUUAUCAGAUCUUUGUCUAUCCAACAUCAAAAGA